Molecule: ribosomal RNA, 491 nt
Filed under: uncultured bacterium
Lineage: Bacteria
Description: bacterial SSU rRNA
Rfam family: Bacterial small subunit ribosomal RNA
Source: RNAcentral
UGGGGAAUAUUGCGCAAUGGGCGAAAGCCUGACGCAGCGACGCCGCGUGGAGGAUGAAGGUCUUCGGAUUGUAAACUUCUGUUAAGUGAGAAGAAAGACCUAUUUCUAAUACAGAUAGGGAAUGACAGUAUCAUUAGAGAAAGCACCGGCUAACUUCGUGCCAGCAGCCGCGGUAAUACGAAGGGUGCUAGCGUUAUUCGGAUUUAUUGGGCGUAAAGGGUGUGUAGGCGGCAUAUCAAGUCUAUUGUUAAAGACCCCAGCCUAACUGGGGAAAUGCGGUGGAAACUGGUGUGCUUGAGGGUGGAAGAGAGAAGUGGAAUUCUCGGAGUAGCGGUAAAAUGCGUAGAUCUCGAGAGGAACACCAAUGGCGAAGGCAGCUUCUUGGUCCACAUCUGACGCUGAAACACGAAAGCGUGGGGAGCAAACAGGAUUAGAUACCCUGGUAGUCCACGCUGUAAACGAUGAUCACUGGACGUCAGUUUUGUUUACUA